GACCCUCCCGACGCCCGCUCCCCUGGCUCUUCGCAGCCUCACCCCUGCACCCCCAACCGCCCCGCCUCCCCGCGCACUGCCGCCCCUGUGCCCCGCCUCCGCCGCCGCCCCGCGCACCUCCCCGCGCACCGCCCCGCGCCGCCGCCCCUCUCCCCGCCUCCUCCGCCGCCGGCCCGCGCGCCUGGCGAGGGCGCUUCGGCCGGCCGACGGGGCGAGGGCGAACGGCGAACAUGGAACAAUGACACGCGCGGAACGGGCGCUGGCCAACGUGUCCGGCCGGACCUGAGACCGUGGCGCGCACUGCCCAACGUGGAACACCGGUCUCUUCCUGGCCGUCGGUGACCUCUCGGUUGCCACCUCCGGCCUUAUCUCCUACGGAACAAGCUACUCCAUCCAUCGGUUGCAAGAUCUGAGGAAUUUGAUUGGAGUGCUUCACAUGGUGGCCCUUUGAUUUCUCCAACUCUGGCAUAAUUGCAUUGGAAUUAUUUCUGAUUAAGUAUUAGCUCUUGGAUUACUCCUAUGGUAACGUCUCUUAAUCCGGAUUGCACACACUGAUUCUACAUGUCCCCUGAUUUUCUUUAACCAAUUCUACAUUUCCAGCCUCAAGGUGGAUUAUGAUAAUUUACUGUUUUAUCUUUGUACUGGGAAGGUUUACAUUGAAGUUAUUCCUGCGUCGAAGAUUCCAUACAGAUCUGAAGAGCUGUAAAUUGUUAUGGUAUUCACAUUGCUGCUGCUGCUGAAUGUGUUGUGCUUCUCACCACUCAUGUUCAUUCUUGUGUUAUGCCCAUAAGGAAAUAUAAGGUGCUGAACUGGUCUUUUUGGUGCAUGGCUGGUCGUUUUGGUGUUUCUAGGAAUGCCUCUGCGGCAACACACAGGUGACUGAUUUCAGCGACAAUUCUUCUAUGAAGUGUGUGGUUCACUCCACCUAUUACAAAUGUUCGAAACCUAAAAGUCUUCGCAAACUCUCAGAAAGGCAAGAUAUAACUUCAGUUUUCUUUGGUGUUCACCAAUGUGCUAUAGCGCAGCACCACUCCAAGAUGACGAACUAUGUUUUUCUGAACGUACCUUGUGAGUUGUUCAAGUAACAUAUAUCAUGCUCGUGCGAGGCUACAUGCUCACAUGAUGGAAGCAAUUCAUAGCAAGUAAAAUUUGCUCUUGUUGUUUCAGAAUUACACUUAUGCAUACUCAAUAUUGAGUGUUGUGAUGAUGGUAAGAAGUGUGAUACAGAGAACUUGCAAAGGUGCAAAAAAAGAACAAGGAGCCCAUGGCUAAUGCUUGCACUCACAUUUUUCUCACAGAUCGUCCUUUCUCGAUCAACAGGCUGGUACGAGAUGUUAAAAUGGGUUCGUAUUUGUCUACCAUUAUUCUUCUAUAUCAAAAGUGUCAAUUCCAUCGAUUUCUUGCUAGUAUGUUGUGUAGUGUACGAUUUAGCCGCAAGAGUCGGUGCAUCCUCUCGUUUCCGGGCGUCC
This is a long non-coding RNA of Triticum urartu, 1469 nucleotides long. RefSeq lists it as uncharacterized. NCBI's taxonomy places the organism in Eukaryota, Viridiplantae, Streptophyta, Magnoliopsida, Poales, Poaceae. The record is from RefSeq and is a predicted model, not a curated record.